GACGAACGCUGGCGGCGUGCUUAACACAUGCAAGUCGAACGGAAAGGCCCUGCUUGCAGGGUCCUCGAGUGGCGAACGGGUGAGUAACACGUGGGUGAUCUGCCCUGCACUUCGGGAUAAGCCUGGGAAACUGGGUCUAAUACCGGAUAGGAGCCAUUUUUAGCGUGAUGGUUGGAAAGUUUUUUCGGUGUAGGAUGAGCUCGCGGCCUAUCAGCUUGUUGGUGGGGUAAUGGCCUACCAAGGCGGCGACGGGUAGCCGGCCUGAGAGGGUGGACGGCCACAUUGGGACUGAGAUACGGCCCAGACUCCUACGGGAGGCAGCAGUGGGGAAUAUUGCACAAUGGGCGCAAGCCUGAUGCAGCGACGCCGCGUGGGGGAUGACGGCCUUCGGGUUGUAAACUCCUUUCGCUAGGGACGAAGCUUUUUGUGACGGUACCUAGAUAAGAAGCACCGGCUAACUACGUG
This 465-nucleotide ribosomal RNA is filed under the name uncultured bacterium. RNAcentral's name for it is "partial 16S ribosomal RNA". It matches the Rfam family "Bacterial small subunit ribosomal RNA", at positions 28 to 507 of the family's 1533-position model. The record is from RNAcentral.